AUUGAACGCUGGCGGCAGGCCUAACACAUGCAAGUCGAACGGUAACAGGAAGAAGCUUGCUUCUUUGCUGACGAGUGGCGGACGGGUGAGUAAUGUCUGGGAAACUGCCUGAUGGAGGGGGAUAACUACUGGAAACGGUAGCUAAUACCGCAUAACGUCGCAAGACCAAAGAGGGGGACCUUCGGGCCUCUUGCCAUCGGAUGUGCCCAGAUGGGAUUAGCUAGUAGGUGGGGUAACGGCUCACCUAGGCGACGAUCCCUAGCUGGUCUGAGAGGAUGACCAGCCACACUGGAACUGAGACACGGUCCAGACUCCUACGGGAGGCAGCAGUGGGGAAUAUUGCACAAUGGGCGCAAGCCUGAUGCAGCCAUGCCGCGUGUAUGAAGAAGGCCUUCGGGUUGUAAAGUACUUUGAGCGGGGAGGAAGGGAGUAAAGUUAAUACCUUGGCUCAUUGACGUUACCCGCAGAAGAAGCACCGGCUAACUCCGUG
RNAcentral lists this ribosomal RNA (490 nucleotides) under uncultured bacterium. RNAcentral's name for it is "partial 16S ribosomal RNA". It matches the Rfam family "Bacterial small subunit ribosomal RNA", at positions 30 to 507 of the family's 1533-position model. The record is from RNAcentral.